This 22-nucleotide ribosomal RNA is filed under the name Cordulegaster picta. RNAcentral describes it as "partial 5.8S ribosomal RNA". The record is from RNAcentral. Lineage: Eukaryota; Metazoa; Arthropoda; Insecta; Odonata; Cordulegastridae.
UCGUGGAUCGAUGAAGAACGCA